Molecule: long non-coding RNA, 1039 nt
Organism: Cucurbita moschata (crookneck pumpkin)
Lineage: Eukaryota; Viridiplantae; Streptophyta; Magnoliopsida; Cucurbitales; Cucurbitaceae
Exons: 3
Source: RefSeq, a predicted model, not a curated record
ACGUGCGUGAGAAAGCGUGAAGAGUCAGUCCACAGUCCGCAGCGGUAGACUUUGCUUUAGACUAAACCCUAAACCCUAAACCCUAAACCCUUGCACUCCCUUUUUACGGCGAUGAUGGUGAGCGACGGCGAUGACGGGAUAGGUUUGAAAUUGAUGAAAUGUGCUGCGAUUGAAUGCUGCAAACCCAUUUGGUCAAUUAGCAUUUCGUUUGGGGUUUAGAUCUUGGGGGAGGAUAAUGGUAUUAAGGUUGUUAAUUUGAGGCGUUUUGUGAGAGGGCGUGGUCGAAGCAUGAAGUUCAUAAGCCAUUUUUGCCUCAUGGAGAAGCUUGUGGAGCUUCUGGAGGCACUGACUUGAAUGGUGGCUCUCCGUUGUUGGCAACAAUGGAUGCUUGGACGGAAACUUGGACAAACAUUCUAUUUCUGAGUUUCUUACAUUACGGUCGGAGUAGUUUUCUCCAAGAGGACAACGUUCGGUUACCAUGGUGUUUUCUUCCCUUGUUAACAAUAUUCAUUUCUGGUAAUCAGGAAGCUUAUAUGCGUGUAUACAGUUUCCUGAAGUUUCAUCGGCGACGUUUUUCCGGACAUUUUCGUUCAAGGCUCUGUUAGAUGAUCUCGUCCAGAGUCGUGGCUUAUCGGUUUCAUGUUCUGCUUGAGUAAGAAACCGAGCUGUACUGCAGGUUAAUUAUAUGGACAUAACUGUGAUCAGAUCCUUGCAAUGUGGUCUCUAAUUAUUGCGUUACAGUAACUCGAUACCAAUGAAGUCGAGAACUGCAGUUUUCUCAUACAUCCAUGGUGCAUAAGAUUUGAGAAGGCUCAGCUCUAAAUAGGUACGUUGUUUUUACUAUUAUCCUUUUUUCUAUUGUUGAGAAAUUGAUGUUGCAGGUUUGAAAUACGAAAAACGCUUCGAACAUCCUUCCCGUCUUGCAGCUUUGAAAUACAAAUUGAUCUUGGUGUGUUCCUUUGGGAAUGGGUUUCCACAGGCACAGCAGAAAUAGUUCAGGAAUUACUAAAUAUGGGUCUAUAGGGAUGCAUUCAAUCCU